CAUGUGAGCCAAAGCUUUCCAGAAAAAGGGAAGUAAUUUGGGUGGUUAAAAACACCGGCUAGAGGUGGAAAGUUCAGGUCCAGAAAGUACAAAUCCAGGCCAAGGUUUUGUUCCACCCAACCAGUUGGGUAUAAAGAGUCACAGUCACAGAGUACUCAACUGGUUGGUUGACGCUGGGAAGGCAUACACAAAUGCAGAUGCUUACAUUCUGGAGCCUACUGGUUGUUUAAUGUGUUUACCACCUUGAUCUUGAUGCUGUUCAAUGACACUCGAAUCAUGUAAGUGCUUUCUCCACACCGUCAUCAAUCCCCCCACACCACAAGGCACCACCCCACCCUACCGUCUCUGUCAUAAAUUUAGACUGGAGUAAGUUCUGCCAAAACAAAGGCCCUCAAGUUCCUGGAAAUGCUUGCCGGUGGCCCCAUUACAAACCACAUAACUGCACCAGUUCUGAUAAAUCAAGAUUGCUUUCCAGGAAGCAGCCAGAGGUCCUUCAGAAAAGCCACCUCCCUCGAAUAAACUGCACCUCCAGGUCUUGGGGGGGACCGUGGCCAGCGGGUGAGAGAUAGAGAUGAACUUCAAUAGACCAACUAACCAAAGCGAUCUGUGUGCUCAGCCGAAACGUUAUUUUUAUCAUGGCAUGCAAACCCCACUUCUUAGAAGGGCUUAUCUGUCAUGAUUAAGGAAUUCAAAUCCUGGCAGCUAUAUACAGUUCUUGGUAGGAAGGACCCAGAAGCAAAGAGGAUUGUGGGAUACAAACUGAAAGUUCAUCAGUGUGUUCUGCCUUUCUCCUCUCAUGUGGAAGAUCCACUUUGACAUUUCUGUUGUGUUUUCCAUAACCCCAUCUCUACCUGAUCCAUGCAGCUGGAUGCGGAUGCGCGAUGAGCCUGGCCCUCUCACCUACCUGGAUGUCAAAGCACAGGGUCCGAACCUGUCGAGCCAGAGACGGCAGCCCCAGCUCUGCGUAUGAUGUGACAGAUGCUGCUCAGUGCUACUCAAAGGAUGAAGUGACAUCAAGGCUGCAGAUAAACUAAGAAGACGCCAAGUGUGCAGGCGGGGGGGGGGGCUAGCAGAUGUUAAGUGAGUCCAGUGUGGCACAAGGUCCCGGCUACGUACGUGUCCUGCUGAAUUACUGGAAGCAGAAGAUAAAGCCUGGCUACGUGUGUUACGGGCCGGAAGCUCGCAGUACCUGUGGUAUGCCACAGCGACCGGGUCAUUUUUCAAAACAGCACAGAGCCCGCUGGGGACAGGACCAGCUGGCAGACGGCCUCGCUGCAGGGGCUGUCACCAAAUAUCACAUCUGGCCCGAAAGCGUAGAACUGUCAUCAGAGACUGACACACAGAGUGUGAUCCCUCUCACCUUCCAGCACGCUAUCUGCAUAUGAAUCAUAUUUAAAAAUCGGCAUGGGUCCCAGCAAAUGUCGGGUCGUGUUUUUUCUGUAACUCUCGCUCAGAAUAUGCAGAUUGGUACUUCUAAGGCUGGCCGGGGCUGUCCAAA
This is a non-coding RNA of Paramormyrops kingsleyae, 1498 nucleotides long. NCBI's taxonomy places the organism in Eukaryota, Metazoa, Chordata, Actinopteri, Osteoglossiformes, Mormyridae. The record is from RefSeq and is a predicted model, not a curated record.